RNAcentral lists this ribosomal RNA (327 nucleotides) under uncultured bacterium. RNAcentral's name for it is "bacterial SSU rRNA". It matches the Rfam family "Bacterial small subunit ribosomal RNA", at positions 775 to 1090 of the family's 1533-position model. The record is from RNAcentral.
AGUAAAUAGAUACCCCGGGUAGUCCACGCCGUAAACGAUGAGUACUAGGUGUAGGAGGUAUCGACUCCUUCUGUGCCGCAGUUAAACACAAUAAGUACUCCGCCUGGGAAGUACGGUCGCAAGAUUAAAACUCAAAGGAAUUGACGGGGGCCCGGCCACAAGCAGCGGAGCAUGUGGUUUAAAUUCGAAGCAACGCGAAGAACCUUACCUAGACUUGACAUCUCCUGAAUAGUGUAGAGAUACAUGAAGCCCUUCGGGGUCGAGGAAGACAGGUGGUGCAUGGUUGGUCGCCACGCUCGUGUCGUGAGAUGUUGGGUUAAGUCCCGC